Molecule: ribosomal RNA, 253 nt
Filed under: uncultured bacterium
Lineage: Bacteria
Description: partial 16S ribosomal RNA
Rfam family: Bacterial small subunit ribosomal RNA
Source: RNAcentral
UACAGAGGUCUCAACCGUUGUUCGGAUUCAUUGGGCGUAAAGGGUGCGUAGGCGGUCGGGUAAGUCGGGUGUGAAAUCUCGGGGCUUAACUCCGAAACUGCAUUCGAUACUGCCGUGCUUGAGGACUGGAGAGGAGACUGGAAUUUACGGUGUAGCGGUGAAAUGCGUAGAUAUCGUAAGGAAGACCAGUGGCGAAGGCGGGUCUCUGGACAGUUCCUGACGCUGAGGCACGAAGGCCAGGGGAGCAAACGGG